RNAcentral lists this ribosomal RNA (497 nucleotides) under uncultured bacterium. RNAcentral describes it as "partial 16S ribosomal RNA". It matches the Rfam family "Bacterial small subunit ribosomal RNA", at positions 28 to 507 of the family's 1533-position model. The record is from RNAcentral.
GAUGAACGCUGGCGGCGUGCCUAAUACAUGCAAGUCGAGCGAACGGACGAGAAGCUUGCUUCUCUGAUGUUAGCGGCGGACGGGUGAGUAACACGUGGAUAACCUACCUAUAAGACUGGGAUAACUUCGGGAAACCGGAGCUAAUACCGGAUAAUAUUUUGAACCGCAUGGUUCAAAAGUGAAAGACGGUCUUGCUGUCACUUAUAGAUGGAUCCGCGCUGCAUUAGCUAGUUGGUAAGGUAACGGCUUACCAAGGCAACGAUGCAUAGCCGACCUGAGAGGGUGAUCGGCCACACUGGAACGUAGACACGGUCCAGACUCCUACGGGAGGCAGCAGUAGGGAAUCUUCCGCAAUGGGCGAAAGCCUGACGGAGCAACGCCGCGUGAGUGAUGAAGGUCUUCGGAUCGUAAAACUCUGUUAUUAGGGAAGAACAUAUGUGUAAGUAACUGUGCACAUCUUGACGGUACCUAAUCAGAAAGCCACGGCUAACUACGUG